GGGUGUGAGAGUGAUCUGGCUGCAACAUCUGUCGCCCCAUUGAUUGCCAGGCUGGCGUCAUUAGUUCUGACUGGCUGGGCUAGGGACUCCUUCCUGCCUUACCUUCCCAUGUACAUCUUUUCUUGAGCUGCAUGCCAUCAAGGCAUCCUUCUGUAAUAGGGUGAACCACUCUCCAGAGACGAGUGCAAUUAUUAUCAGGGAAUAACCCCACUGGCUUCAAGAACCCCCUUAACUAAUCUCUUAGUUCUGA
This 250-nucleotide small RNA is filed under the name Carlito syrichta (Philippine tarsier). RNAcentral describes it as "7SK RNA (ENSTSYG00000024171.2)". The stretch from base 1 to 188 matches the Rfam family "7SK RNA". Rfam says of the family: 7SK was discovered as an abundant small nuclear RNA in the mid-70s but a possible function has only recently been suggested. The record is from RNAcentral. Lineage: Eukaryota; Metazoa; Chordata; Mammalia; Primates; Tarsiidae.